CAUCAACACAUAUCAAUACACUUACAAAUGGAAUACAAUGAACUUUCACAACUACAAUUACAAACUAAAGCUACAACAAGAGUUAUUUAAUCAUUAUUCUCUGAGCUUAACAACAUUUUCUAAAUCAUUAUUGUUAUUAUUAUUAAAAGGCUAAAGACAAACGUUUAAAAAUAAAUCACUUCUAUGAAAAGGUAAAAUCCGUCCAAAAUUAAGUAACUCUUAAAAAUAUUGUCCUCCCAGCUAUAAUGGUAUAUGUCUCACUCUGCUGGUAUUGAUGGAUGGUAUAGGUCUCACACUCUGCUGGUAUUGAUGGAUGGUAUAGGUCUCACUCUGCUGGUAUUGAUGGCUGGUAUAGGUCUCACACUCUGCUGGUAUUGAUGGAUGGUAUAGGUCUCACUCUGCUGGUAUUGAUGGAUGGUACAGGUCUCACUCUGCUGGUAUUGAUGGAUGGUAUAGGUCUCACACUCUGCUGGUAUUGAUGGAUGGUAUAGGUCUCACUCUGCUGGUAUUGAUGGAUGGUAUAGGUCUCACUCUGCUGGUAUUGAUGGAUGGUAUAGGUCUAGGUCACACUCUUCUGGUAUUGAUGGAUGGUAUAGGUCUCACACUCUGCUGGUAUUGAUAGAUGCUUAUGUACUGAAGUAUGAGAUAGAGA
This 652-nucleotide long non-coding RNA is filed under the name Salmo salar (Atlantic salmon). Its description in RNAcentral is "lncRNA (ENSSSAG00000119483.1)". The record is from RNAcentral. Lineage: Eukaryota; Metazoa; Chordata; Actinopteri; Salmoniformes; Salmonidae.